Molecule: ribosomal RNA, 253 nt
Filed under: uncultured bacterium
Lineage: Bacteria
Description: partial 16S ribosomal RNA
Rfam family: Bacterial small subunit ribosomal RNA
Source: RNAcentral
UACGGAGGGUGCAAGCGUUAUCCGGAUUCACUGGGUUUAAAGGGUGCGUAGGUGGGUUGGUAAGUCAGUGGUGAAAUCUCUGAGCUUAACUUGGAAACUGCCAUUGAUACUAUCAGUCUUGAAUACCGUGGAGGUCAGCGGAAUAUGUCAUGUAGCGGUGAAAUGCUUAGAUAUGACAUAGAACACCAAUUGCGAAGGCAGCUGACUACGCGAAUAUUGACACUGAUGCACGAAAGCGUGGGGAUCAAACAGG